RNAcentral lists this ribosomal RNA (405 nucleotides) under Cytauxzoon sp. MRA-2009-8. Its description in RNAcentral is "eukaryotic LSU rRNA". The stretch from base 299 to 405 matches the Rfam family "Eukaryotic large subunit ribosomal RNA", at positions 1 to 107 of the family's 3401-position model. The record is from RNAcentral. Lineage: Eukaryota; Apicomplexa; Aconoidasida; Piroplasmida; Theileriidae.
CCUUGAACGUAUUAGACACACCACCUCUGCUUGCAUGUGGUACUCCCAUUUCAGUGAAGUAUAAAAUCCUAAAAGUACAACUUUUGUUGUUCUUUUGUGAGUAGAGGCGAUUGAUAGAUCCCUCUAUUUCUACAUUCUAGAGAUUUCCUCCUCGUUUAUCUCGAAACUCUAUUGUAUUUUGAAAUACUCUAUGUUUUGAGUGAGGAUAAAGGAAGCUCAUUCAUGAAUGAAGUAUCUUGAGGUGACGGAAGCGUCUUGGGGUUACAUGUAUCCUUGAGUUAACUUCCCUCCUUUCAUCCUUCCUGAAAUUGGGUGAGACUACCCGCUGAAUUUAAGCAUAUAAUUAAGCGGUGGAAAAGAAAAUAACUAUGAUUCUCUUAGUAACGGCGAGUGAAGCGGGAGGAA